Molecule: long non-coding RNA, 935 nt
Organism: Xyrauchen texanus (razorback sucker)
Lineage: Eukaryota; Metazoa; Chordata; Actinopteri; Cypriniformes; Catostomidae
Exons: 4
Source: RefSeq, a predicted model, not a curated record
CAGAAUGAUCCACUGUCACAGAAUGCAGAGCAAAGGCACUGGCAAAAGGAAUCAAAGGCACAGGUUUAUGUCUGCAUGCAACCACUCAGAGCAAGGGGUCAGGUAGGACAGUCGCUUUUUUGGAGGAACACCGAGGCCUUUCCAGUUUUCAACAGGGUCUUCCUCUACUAAUUGUUGCUUAACCUCUGUGUCCUGCUCACUAUGGGCAGUUUUUGUCUUCUGAUUCUUUGUCUCAAUGUCCUCUGUCUUCACCGGUGCAGAGGAAAGCCUCAUGUUUCCCUCAAGAAACUCAAGGUGGCGUAUGACAAAGCGGUCAAUUCGGAUGGGGAGGCUUUCAUGUUUGAAAAGACCAUGUUUUAUGUUUUUAAAUUCAGCCUCAACAUUUGCAGAGGUUGCUGUGUUGUGUAUGCUUUUGAAGUGCGGAACCAUCACAGCUGUCCAAAGGGAUUUCUGUAACCCAUGUUUUCAGAUCUGUGUGUAGUGUCUCCUCAACUCCGGUCACCUCUGUUAAAUGGUCGUCUUCAGUGACACAUGGCAAGACCCCUCUGCAAAUCGUCUUUUCAAUUGUGCUUUGCAUGUUUCCGAGACAACAGACAUUCCCACCGACUAAUGAGCUUGAUGCAGUGUGCAACAUCUACUCUGAUGAAGCAAGGUGGUAGCUUUGAGUCUUUGGGCUUCCUUGCCAGCACUCCAAAGCACUGAUUGAUGUAUGUUUUCAGGUCUGGGUAAGGAGUGAAGGCCUUAACCAGUGCUCCAAGCAAAGCCAAGGAGAAAUCACAGACCGCCUCUUUGGGCACAGCAGCACCUGCUCGUUGCCAUUCCAUGAGCCAGUUGGCAAUAGAAUUGAUGGUGUGGCUCUCUGAUAGCAUUUGCACUACUGGAAUAUGAUCUCCCUGUGAACACAAAACUCCUUGAUACAGGAAGACAUGUCCAGA